CCAAACUUGGUCAUUUAGAGGAAGUAAAAGUCGUAACAAGGUUUCCGUAGGUGAACCUGCGGAAGGAUCAUUAAAGUGAUUUCCAAAAAACACACCAUUGUGCAACUGUUUAUUUUUUGGGUGAUAUUUUUUGAAACAAAAAAAGUCACCAGUGUAACCCAAGUUUAAUAUGAGUAAUAUCCAGUGUAUUUUUUAAAAAAACACAACUUUAGACAAUGGAUCCCUCGGCUCUUACAUCGAUGAAGAACGCAGC
Molecule: unclassified non-coding RNA, 253 nt
Filed under: uncultured fungus
Lineage: Eukaryota; Fungi
Description: partial contains small subunit ribosomal RNA, internal transcribed spacer 1, and 5.8S ribosomal RNA
Rfam family: Eukaryotic small subunit ribosomal RNA (bases 1-73)
Source: RNAcentral